CCAGGUCGCAUUAAAGAGGUGUUAUGAUGCCGGUGGUUCAGUUGCUGAGAGCUGCAUCAAAGCAUGCUGGGAACAGGCCCCCACGCUGUGUUGUGCAGACGACCUCUGCAGCACAUGGCGUCAGAACACAUGCUUCAUCCUGCACUGAUAGUGACAAACCCAAAGUCCUCAUUACUGGAGGACUUGGACAGCUGGGGGUGGGGCUUGCUACGUCAUUAAGG
This is a non-coding RNA of Maylandia zebra (zebra mbuna), 221 nucleotides long. The record is from RefSeq and is a predicted model, not a curated record. NCBI's taxonomy places the organism in Eukaryota, Metazoa, Chordata, Actinopteri, Cichliformes, Cichlidae.